RNAcentral lists this ribosomal RNA (512 nucleotides) under Neoscapteriscus vicinus. Its description in RNAcentral is "partial 16S ribosomal RNA". It matches the Rfam family "Bacterial large subunit ribosomal RNA", at positions 1803 to 2616 of the family's 2925-position model. Lineage: Eukaryota; Metazoa; Arthropoda; Insecta; Orthoptera; Gryllotalpidae. The record is from RNAcentral.
UUUAACAAAAACAUGGCUUUUAGAAUAAAAUUAAAGGUCUGACCUGCCCACUGAUGAAAUUGAAGGGCCGCGGUAUCUUGACCGUGCAAAGGUAGCAUAAUAAUUCGUCUUUUUAUUGGGGGCUGGAAUGAAGGGUUUGACGGACAUUAACUGUCUCAGUAAACUAUAUUGAAUUUUACUUUUAAGUUAAAAGGCUUAAAUAGAAAUAGGGGACGAUAAGACCCUAUAGAACUUUAUAAUGGAAGUAUUAUAGAAAUAUCUGAUUAUUUUACUGGGGUGGUAGAGGAAGAGAUCAACUUUUUCACGUUUAACAUCUAUUGAUGAUUCAAGGAUUCAUUAGUAAUGAUAGUAAGAGGAAGUUACCUUAGGGAUAACAGCUUAAUUUCCUUUGAGAGCUCUUAUCGACAAGGAGGAUUAAGACCUCGAUGUUGGAUUAUGAUUAGGUUUAAACGAAGAGGUUUAAAUUAUAAGUCUGUUCGACUUUCAAACUCUUACGUGAUCUGAGUUCAGAC